Molecule: ribosomal RNA, 323 nt
Filed under: uncultured archaeon
Lineage: Archaea
Description: bacterial SSU rRNA
Rfam family: Archaeal small subunit ribosomal RNA
Source: RNAcentral
CCCUACGGGGCGCAGCAGGCGCGAAAACUUUACAAUGCGGGAAACCGUGAUAAGGGAACUCCGAGUGCCCGUAAWAUCGGGCUGUCCAUCKGUNUAAAUAACCGGUGAAGAAAGGGCCGGGCAAGACCGGUGCCAGCCGCCGCGGUAAUACCGGCGGCUCGAGUGGUGGCCACUAUUACUGGGCUUAAAGCGUUCGUAGCUGGUCUGUUAAGUCUCUGGGGAAAUCUACUGGCUUAACCAAUAGGCGUCUCAGGGAUACUGGCAGACUAGGGACCGGGAGAGGUGAGAGGUACUCCAGGGGUAGGAGUGAAAUCCUGUAAUCC